This is a small nucleolar RNA of Jaculus jaculus (lesser Egyptian jerboa), 220 nucleotides long. Its record names the gene U3. It matches the Rfam family "Small nucleolar RNA U3". Rfam says of the family: Small nucleolar RNAs (snoRNAs) are involved in the processing and modification of rRNA in the nucleolus. NCBI's taxonomy places the organism in Eukaryota, Metazoa, Chordata, Mammalia, Rodentia, Dipodidae. The record is from Ensembl.
AAGAUUAUAUUUUCAGGAUCCUUUCUAUAGUUUGUCACUAGAGAAGCUUCUCUGACUGUGUGUAGUAGAGUACUGGAAACCAUGAGGAGGCGGCGUGGCGCUCUCUCCUGAGCGUGAAGCCGGCUCUAGGUGUUGCUUUGCUCCAACUGCCACUCGCCAUGGAUGAUCGUUCCUGCUGUCCUUCGGGGCAGCUGGAGGAAGAGGAUGCAGUCUGAGUGGA